AUAAGAUACAGUUGUAUGCAAAAAAUAAUCUUGUAUUAUAUAGUUAUAUAUCAAAACUAUGGAUUUUCUAUGCACUUCCUGCGAUCAUUAAUGUUCAUUGUCUUUGUUCGGAUUUUGUUGGGCACCUGCGGCAAGCGGUGUCAGACACGACGGACGCUGCCAGGUCCGCGUCAACAUCGUGCUCACAGAGCCUGGCCGCUGCGUCGUGUUCUCCAUUUUGCAGUACAUGGUGAACUACACGGCAAAGUUCAGCUGAAGUUCCUCUAUUUUCUUCCUACUAAGAGCCCUGACGAUUUGUACUACUUGGCUGCAAAUUUGUGCCGUUUGCAUCACCAUACGGAUAGUGGUUUGUUCUUCUGGCAUUAUUCAUGGUUCUCAUCAUAGCCAUACUGAAUGAUGCAGGUGGCAUACCUGAAUUUAUCAUAUGAAUUAUGACUUUAUGAGCUUGCUUGGCUACUGACCUGCUGUUUUGGAAGGGCGUCCUUUUACCAGAGCUAUGGAUUUUAUUAUGCUCCAUUUCCUUCAGGGCGCGUUGACCCACCGUGGAUGUUGGUCGCUGCAUGCCUGCGCUGUUCUUUGCUCGGCUGGGUGGAGCGCUUGUGUUGCCAGCCUACAAUUGGCGUCGGGACUUUCGUUCGGUUCUGCUCGGCGGCGGUGAUUUCCUUCGGUUCUGCUGGGCCCUUCUAUCUAGCGGCCCCUAGAAGGGAGCGCGGGUGACGCGCUGCAGUCUAGCCUCCACCGCCGCCACCGCCUGUACUCGCCGUCUCGUCUGCUGCUGAAGCCCCCAAACAGCUCACCUCGUGGCAGCAAGGAGUCAGUCAAAAUAUGCAAGUAUGUGCACCCAGUUUGUUCAAGCCCCUUGCUCAGAAGUUGGUCUGGAGAUGCAAGAAUUGAAAUUUGCGUAUAUAUAACUGCAUUUUUACGCAGAAUUGAAAUUUCACAGAAACUACACUAAACUGCAUUGAUAUUAUUGAAAAAUGUUAAUUAAAUGUUAAAUGGAUAACUUUGUGAUAAUCUACACCAUAUCUUUAUGGACUAGGACCAAUCAAAACAACAUGCAGGAAUUGUUCAUCCUCAUGGAACCAAAAAACCAUCCAUCCACUUUCAUUGCAAGUCAACACUGUACUGAGCUUUCCCUGUCCAUAAACUUCCGAAACAGAAUGCCAGAUUGUUAAAUACUGACCAAGAUAAUGAUAUUUAGAAACAAAUUACCUCACCCUCACCUCUUUCUGAUUCGUUUUUUGCUGCUGAACUAUUGCUGUCGGCUGUCGGAGUGCCUUUGCUGCUUUGGGUUCUUGCUUAACUUCCGCCUGCUGUGGAUGCCGCUUUGUGCUUGGGUCUUUCCUUGUUGCUGCUGGUGUCGCCGUCUUAUUGCUGGCCAGGGGCAUGAUAUCUUGAGCAGCAGCCAAUCCUCCACGGGUGAAGUGAAGAUUUAUGUUUGUUACAAUUUCCAAUAUUAGCAUAGUAUGUAUUUGCAUGUUGCAAAGAUCUCGGUAUGAGGAGAUUUAGAUUCAUUCAACUCAA
Long non-coding RNA from Triticum dicoccoides, 1524 nucleotides. RefSeq lists it as uncharacterized. The transcript has 4 exons. The record is from RefSeq and is a predicted model, not a curated record. Lineage: Eukaryota; Viridiplantae; Streptophyta; Magnoliopsida; Poales; Poaceae.